This 171-nucleotide ribosomal RNA is filed under the name uncultured bacterium. RNAcentral describes it as "partial 16S ribosomal RNA". It matches the Rfam family "Bacterial small subunit ribosomal RNA", at positions 1332 to 1500 of the family's 1533-position model. The record is from RNAcentral.
UCGCUAGUAAUCGCGAAUCAGAAUGUCGCGGUGAAUACGUUCCCGGGUCUUGUACACACCGCCCGUCACACCAUGGGAGUCGGAUAUGCCCGAAGUCAGUGACCCUAACCUUUUGGGAGGGAGCUGCCGAAGGUGGAGCCGAUAACUGGGGUGAAGUCGUAACAAGGUACC